Molecule: non-coding RNA, 112 nt
Organism: Acanthosepion pharaonis
Lineage: Eukaryota; Metazoa; Mollusca; Cephalopoda; Sepiida; Sepiidae
Source: the annotation of a GenBank genome assembly
AACGGCCAUAUCACAUUGAAACACUUGUUCUCAUCCAAUCACUGAAGUUAAGCAGUGUUGAUCCGGAUUAGUAACUAGAUGGGUGACUGCUUGGGAAUACCAAGUGCUGUAA